RNAcentral lists this ribosomal RNA (447 nucleotides) under uncultured bacterium. Its description in RNAcentral is "partial 16S ribosomal RNA". It matches the Rfam family "Bacterial small subunit ribosomal RNA", at positions 329 to 793 of the family's 1533-position model. The record is from RNAcentral.
GGCCAGACUCCUACGGGAGGCAGCAGUGGGGAAUAUUGCACAAUGGGGGAAACCCUGAUGCAGCGACGCCGCGUGAGUGAAGAAGUAUUUCGGUAUGUAAAGCUCUAUCAGCAGGAAAGAAAAUGACGGUACCUGACUAAGAAGCCCCGGCUAACUACGUGCCAGCAGCCGCGGUAAUACGUAGGGGGCAAGCGUUAUCCGGAUUUACUGGGUGUAAAGGGGGCGCAGACGGCAGCGCAAGCCAGGAGUGAAAGCCCGGGGCCCAACCCCGGGACUGCUCUUGGAACUGCGCGGCUGGAGUGCAGGAGGGGCAGGCGGAAUUCCUGGUGUAGCGGUGAAAUGCGUAGAUAUCAGGAGGAACACCGGUGGCGAAGGCGGCCUGCUGGACUGCGACUGACGUUGAGGCCCGAAAGCGUGGGGAGCAAACAGGAUUAGAUACCCCGGUAC